RNAcentral lists this ribosomal RNA (253 nucleotides) under uncultured bacterium. RNAcentral's name for it is "partial 16S ribosomal RNA". It matches the Rfam family "Bacterial small subunit ribosomal RNA", at positions 524 to 776 of the family's 1533-position model. The record is from RNAcentral.
UACAGAGGGGGCAAGCGUUGUUCGGAAUUACUGGGCGUAAAGCGCGCGUAGGCGGCUUUGUAAGUCAGAGGUGAAAGCCCGGAGCUCAACUUCGGAAUAGCCUUUGAGACUGCAUCGCUUGAAUCCGGGAGAGGUGAGUGGAAUUCCGAGUGUAGAGGUGAAAUUCGUAGAUAUUCGGAAGAACACCGGUGGCGAAGGCGGCGACCUGGGUAGAUACUGACGCUGAGGUGCGAAAGCGUGGGGAGCAAACAGG